Long non-coding RNA from Carya illinoinensis, 929 nucleotides. RefSeq lists it as uncharacterized. The transcript has 2 exons. The record is from RefSeq and is a predicted model, not a curated record. NCBI's taxonomy places the organism in Eukaryota, Viridiplantae, Streptophyta, Magnoliopsida, Fagales, Juglandaceae.
AAUCUGAACGUGACAUGUCAUUAUAUUUGCAUAAUAACCAUGCAUCUCACUACACCUGAACACAACACCUUUUUAUGCUUAAACCCCUUUCUUCAUAUUCAAACACUCACCUGAUUCUAUUCAAACCCACACCCAACGGCUUGCAUUCAACCAAACUAAAAGUCGAUGACACCUCACUCCAUCCCAACCCAAAGUUGACGGCAGAGAACCGGCAACUGCCUCUCGAAGGAGCUCGCGCUCAACAGCACCCAACUCAUCCCAACAAAUUGCAUUUUCAUUGGAUUGGCGGCCAAGCAUUUAUGGCAGCAUUUUCUUCAUUCAGUAGCAUUUUGAACCAUGGGCCUUUGAACCAUCAGUUUGCAGUUGAACCAUGAGCCUUUGGUAGCAUUUUGAACCAUGAGCUGUUGGAGGAUUUUCUGCAUUCUCUAAUACUUUCUCCAGUGGAAUUUUCACAAGCACUUGCUACUAUGUGAAUGAAAGAGGCAACAAGCAGGGGAAAAAAAUCAAAUUCAAAAGUGAAAAAAAUCAAACCAUUAGGUGAUGACGGCAACCAUAGUGGGUUUGCUUGCUGGUUUCGGAGUGAUUUCUCUAAUACUUCCGUUUGCUGGCUGGUUUCAGCGUGAUGGUUUCAGAGUGCAGCUUUGGCUUGGAGCUCCUUUGGUUUCGGUGUGAAGUAGUCGGAUUGAAGUGCACGAUUUCUCCCCUUUUUACUUUCUAUCUCUUGUGUUUUGGUCUAUAGUAUUAAUUCCACAAUUACUUACGUGUCUCACUUAGAUUGGAGGGCUGGUUUUCCUAUAAAAUCAGAUGGGCUGUUUAGAAGCAUUCCCCUUAAACAAAUUACCACUAGUGAUUUGUGUAUUUUUUUAAAAAUGAUUGAAAAACAUUAAAAAGAUUUUUUGAAAAAAAAAAAGAAGAAGACUAGUUGCACU